RNAcentral lists this ribosomal RNA (561 nucleotides) under Geosmithia lavendula. RNAcentral's name for it is "eukaryotic LSU rRNA". It matches the Rfam family "Eukaryotic large subunit ribosomal RNA", at positions 24 to 596 of the family's 3401-position model. The record is from RNAcentral. Lineage: Eukaryota; Fungi; Ascomycota; Sordariomycetes; Hypocreales; Bionectriaceae.
CCCGCUGAACUUAAGCAUAUCAAUAAGCGGAGGAAAAGAAACCAACAGGGAUUGCCUCAGUAACGGCGAGUGAAGCGGCAACAGCUCAAAUUUGAAAUCUGGCCCCCAGGCCCGAGUUGUAAUUUGUAGAGGAUGAUUCUGGCGACGCGCCUUCCGAGUUCCCUGGAACGGGACGCCAUAGAGGGUGAGAGCCCCGUCCGGUCGUGCGCCUAGCCUCUGUGAAUCUCCUUCGACGAGUCGAGUAGUUUGGGAAUGCUGCUCUAAAUGGGAGGUAUACGUCUUCUAAAGCUAAAUACCGGCCAGAGACCGAUAGCGCACAAGUAGAGUGAUCGAAAGAUGAAAAGCACUUUGAAAAGAGGGUUAAAAAGUACGUGAAAUUGCUGAAAGGGAAGCGCUUAUGACCAGACUUGGGCGUGGUGAAUCAUCCGGCGUUCUCGCCGGUGCACUUUGCCUGUCCAGGCCAGCAUCAGUUCUCCCCGGGGGAUAAAGGCUUCGGGAAUGUAGCUCCUUCGGGAGUGUUAUAGACCGUUGCGUAAUACCCUGGGGGGGACUGAGGUACGC